AGUCGACGAACAUCUUAUUCUGAUUUCUUCGGAAUGAAAAAUUUGGUGACUGAGUGGCGGACGGGUGAGUAACGCGUGGGUAACCUGCCUCAUACAGGGGGAUAACAGUUAGAAAUGACUGCUAAUACCGCAUAAGACCACAGCACCGCAUGGUGCAGGGGUAAAAACUCCGGUGGUAUGAGAUGGACCCGCGUCUGAUUAGGUAGUUGGUGGGGUAACGGCCUACCAAGCCGACGAUCAGUAGCCGACCUGAGAGGGUGACCGGCCACAUUGGGACUGAGACACGGCCCAAACUCCUACGGGAGGCAGCAGUGGGGAAUAUUGCACAAUGGGGGAAACCCUGAUGCAGCGACGCCGCGUGAGCGAUGAAGUAGUUCGCUAUGUAAAGCUCUAUCAGCAGGGAAGAUAGUGACGGUACCUGACUAAGAAGCUCCGGCUAAAUACGUGCCAGCAGCCGCGGUAAUACGUAUGGAGCAAGCGUUAUCCGGAUUUACUGGGUGUAAAGGGAGUGUAGGUGGCCAGGCAAGUCAGAAGUGAAAGCCCGGGGCUCAACCCCGGGACUGCUUUUGAAACUGCAGGGCUAGAGUGCAGGAGGGGCAAGUGGAAUUCCUAGUGUAGCGGUGAAAUGCGUAGAUAUUAGGAGGAACACCAGUGGCGAAGGCGGCUUGCUGGACUGUAACUGACACUGAGGCUCGAAAGCGUGGGGAGCAAACAGGAUUAGAUACCCUGGUAGUCCAC
Molecule: ribosomal RNA, 738 nt
Filed under: uncultured bacterium
Lineage: Bacteria
Description: bacterial SSU rRNA
Rfam family: Bacterial small subunit ribosomal RNA
Source: RNAcentral